Canis lupus familiaris (dog) is the source of this 2272-nucleotide long non-coding RNA. RefSeq lists it as uncharacterized. The transcript is spliced from 3 exons. Lineage: Eukaryota; Metazoa; Chordata; Mammalia; Carnivora; Canidae. The record is from RefSeq and is a predicted model, not a curated record.
UGUUGGGGAGGUCGGCGCUGAGGAGGAGGAGGAGCCGGGGCGGCCGCUGGCUUCAGGAUCAAGGAGCGGACUUGGUGAUAUUUUCAUCCAUUCUUCUUUGAAAGAAUCUAUGAGGGUGUAAGUCAAACGAGCCAAACCUCGCUUCUUCCACAGCAGCGGGAGAGAAAGGACUAGUGGGAAGCUUUCCUGGCACCAAUGGCUAACGCGGAGAGGGAGUCUGCACUCUGGGCAAGAGGGAGAGACUGCAACAGGACACAUCUUCCUUGCCAGAUGACACUCUUAAACAUUUGAUUCCACUUCCAUGCAUUCUCCUUUUGAAAUACUUAAGAAGAUGGAAGGACAAGCAGGAGGCAGAUAAGGUCUAAGAGGGAUCAUUAAGAUCACCACAUCUGUCAGCAGCUGUAUCUACUCCCGAGGGAGAAUGCAUUCAAUGUCUUGUCUUGAAGUUACAAGGAAAACCAAGAAUGGAUGCUUCAUGCCAACUUCCAUUGUUUUGUUCCUUCCUCUGAAUACAAGAGGCAUAUUUUUCUAAGUUCUUUUCUAAGUAUUGCAUGCUCAAGUCAGUGAGCCCAACAGGGAGGGUUAGAUAGGAACAGGGGAACUUGUUACCCCAAUGGCUCUAGUUCCCCAAGCUAACUCAGAAAAGUCCGUGGAAAGAGGUAUAUGUUAGUAUAGAUCAUUAUUAAAAUCAAGUAUGACACAAUUUCUGCCUAAUUUCUCAUAUUGCUUGUACCCAAACGGAAACGCUCACCAUAAUUAAAGUUGCCCAAAUUGCUGCUAUAUUUCCCACUAGGAGGAUUAUAUAUCUGCCUGGCAUCCCUUUUUGGUCCUGCUGGAGAUUUCUUGGGUGGUGAACCGGAAGUUGUAUCUUCAUUGGCUCUCUUUUGCCUACAAUGGUUAGAACAUUGAAGUGUUAUCACCAUUUAUCUGAAAAAAUGAGUGAAGGACAGCUCAUAUUCACAUAGGGGUUGUUUUAAAAGUCAUCAGCUUAAGUUACGGGAAGACAUAAUGAAAGCUUACUAUCUCAUUAGAACUGGGAUGAAGACUGAUCAGAACAGGUGAGGUCGGAGAAAUGCAAAAAUCCCAACACAAAGACACAUAUAGUUUGGUACAGAAUUGGCAAUUUAAUCUUUUUUUCAAUGUAAAUUGGUAUUUGGUUUUCAAAAAGGUAAAAAUUAAAAUAUCCCAAACAUCAAUUAAAUAUUUGAACAAAAUGUACUAAGAAGAGCCUAGUGAAAGACUGGUAUGUAUCUAAGUUUGGUAACACUCCACAAACUUGGAAAUACUUGAAAUAUUUCAACAAGGAUAAAAAUAUAGCUUAGCAAAUAAAUAGGCAGAAACUCUUCUAACAUCAUUCUGUAUCUUCAACAAAGACUUGUAUUACCAGUUCAAAUACAGUCAAAUGUUACAUUUCAACAUAAGAAUCGAGCCUGGAUAUGUACUACGUGCUGGCUAUUAUAAAACAUUUCCUUAUAAGAUGUGACCCAGUAUUCUUACCUCUUCUGUUUUUAAGGCCUCGCCUGUUUUACCCUGCAGAGCCAAGCGAAGUUGUCGGAUAUAAACCUGCAGACCCCGUGCAAAGUACUGCAGCCUAAAUAAACAAGCAUUGGCUAAUUAGCAAAUCACUUCGUCAACUUUGCUUUUAAACAGAGAAUCUUCUACUACAGCUAAAUGUUCUUAACUAGUAAAGAUAAUUUUUAAAGGAAUUUUAAAAAUUAUCAAUAUAUGAUCACAAGAGAUACAUAAAUAAGUGAAAUAAAAGCAGUUUUCCUUUACCAAAAAUGCGAGUAAAUCCAUACUCAACCUGGCCAGGGAAAGAUUUGUAACACUGUUCUUGUUAUGUCAAAAUGCAAGGCAUGGUCAGAGUGAACCAACUUCAGGAGCCACGGAUAAGAAUCAGGUGGCCUGGGUUCUACUCUUUCAGUGGCCAACUGAAGGUCAAGUGACCUUAGACAAGUCACUUUAACCUCUAUGUAUUUAUCUGCUAACAAGGGAUGUGUUUGACCCUCAAGGUCUAGUUAAAAAUAAAACCAAACCGCAGAUUGGAGAAUUUAUUAUAAACACAUAUAAAUCUCAAAGACUUCAAAGUAAUACUUUUUUCAAGUCAAGGCAGUAUAUAGCCUUCCAGGAAACUCUGCUUAAUAACCUGGCAUCAUUUUUUAAUUUUUGGAGUAAUUUCUUAACUUGCUGCUUCUGAUCAAAUGUUUUACCAAGUAUUAAACCAUUGUCUUACCAAAGAGUAGAGGAUGGUAACAGAUGAUGCAAGUGGCCA